GUAAUACUCACUUAGUCCGAAAAUACUUGUUGGAGAAAUGAAUGUAUCUAGACGUAUUUUAAUUCUAGAUACAUCCAUUUUUAUCUAUUUCUACAAGAAGUAAUUUCGGGCGAAGGGAGUAUAUU
Triticum aestivum (bread wheat) is the source of this 125-nucleotide non-coding RNA. The record is from Rfam. NCBI's taxonomy places the organism in Eukaryota, Viridiplantae, Streptophyta, Magnoliopsida, Poales, Poaceae.